GAUGAACGCUAGCGGCAGGCCUAAUACAUGCAAGUCGAACGGUAAGGCCCUUUCGGGGGUACACGAGUGGCGGACGGGUGCGUAACGCGUAUGCAACAUGCCUUCCAGCGGGGGAUAUACCAGGGAAACUUGGCGCAAUACCCCAUAGAAUUACGGGACCGCAUGGUCUUGUGAUUAAAACUCCGGUGCUGGGAGAUUGGCAUGCGUGACAUUAGCUAGUUGGCGGGGUAACGGCCCACCAAGGCGACGAUGUCUAGCUGGUCUGAGAGGAUGAUCAGCCACACUGGGACUGAGACACGGCCCAGACUCCUACGGGAGGCAGCAGUGGGGAAUCUUGCGCAAUGGGCGAAAAGCCUGACGCAGCAACGCCGCGUGCGGGAUGAAGGCCCUCGGGUUGUAAACCGCUUUCAGCAGGGACGAAGAUGACGGUACCUGCAGAAGAAGCCCCGGCCAACUACGUGCCAGCAGCCGCGGUAAAUGUAGUCGUGU
RNAcentral lists this ribosomal RNA (489 nucleotides) under uncultured bacterium. Its description in RNAcentral is "bacterial SSU rRNA". It matches the Rfam family "Bacterial small subunit ribosomal RNA", at positions 28 to 534 of the family's 1533-position model. The record is from RNAcentral.